This 508-nucleotide ribosomal RNA is filed under the name uncultured bacterium. Its description in RNAcentral is "partial 16S ribosomal RNA". It matches the Rfam family "Bacterial small subunit ribosomal RNA", at positions 28 to 507 of the family's 1533-position model. The record is from RNAcentral.
GACGAACGCUGGCGGCGUGCUUAACACAUGCAAGUCGAACGGGCCUUGUCCCCUUUUUUUUUGGGGGUGGGGUUAGUGGCGAACGGGUGAGUAACACGUGAGUGACCUGCCCCUCACUUCUGGAUAACCGCUUGAAAGGGUGGCUAAUACGGGGUGUUCUGGCCUGCUCGCAUGGGUGGGUUUGGAAAGAUUCGACCGGUUUUGGUUGUUUUGGUGGGGGAUGGGCUCGCGGCCUAUCAGCUUGUUGGUGGGGUGAUGGCCUGCCAAGGCUUUGACGGGUAGCCGGCCUGAGAGGGUGGGCGGUCACACUGGGACUGAGACACGGCCCAGACUCCUACGGGAGGCAGCAGUGGGGAAUAUUGCACAAUGGGCGCAAGCCUGAUGCAGCGACGCCGCGUGAGGGAUGGAGGCCUUCGGGUUGUGAACCUCUUUCGCCAGUGAAGAAGGUCCUGCUCUUUGUGGUGGGGUUGACGGUAGCUGGGUUAAUGAAGCGCCGGCUAACUACGUG